Molecule: ribosomal RNA, 505 nt
Filed under: uncultured bacterium
Lineage: Bacteria
Description: partial 16S ribosomal RNA
Rfam family: Bacterial small subunit ribosomal RNA
Source: RNAcentral
GACGAACGCUGGCGGCGUGCCUAAUACAUGCAAGUAGAACGCACAGUUUAUACCGUAGCUUGCUACACCAUAGACUGUGAGUUGCGAACGGGUGAGUAACGCGUAGGUAACCUGCCUGGUAGCGGGGGAUAACUAUUGGAAACGAUAGCUAAUACCGCAUAAUAUUGAUUAUUGCAUGAUAAUUGAUUGAAAGAUGCUAUUGCAUCACUACCAGAUGGACCUGCGUUGUAUUAGCUAGUAGGAGAGGUAACGGCUCACCUAGGCGACGAUACAUAGCCGACCUGAGAGGGUGAUCGGCCACACUGGGACUGAGACACGGCCCAGACUCCUACGGGAGGCAGCAGUAGGGAAUCUUCGGCAAUGGACGAAAGUCUGACCGAGCAACGCCGCGUGAGUGAAGAAGGUUUUCGGAUCGUAAAGCUCUGUUGUAAGAGAAGAACGGGUGUGAGAGUGGAAAGUUCACACUGUGACGGUAUCUUACCAGAAAGGGACGGCUAACUACGUG